UACGUAGGGGGCAAGCGUUGUUCGGAAUUACUGGGCGUAAAGGGUGCGUAGGCGGUGUGGUAAGUCAGGUGUGAAAGGCCCGGGCUCAACCGAGGAACUGCUUUUGAUACUGCCAAGCUAGAGUGCGGAAGAGGCAACUGGAAUUCCCAGUGUAGCGGUGAAAUGCGUAGAUAUUGGGAAGAACACCGGAGGCGAAGGCGGGUUGCUGGGCCGACACUGACGCUGAGGCGCGAAAGCAUGGGGAGCAAACAGG
This 253-nucleotide ribosomal RNA is filed under the name uncultured bacterium. Its description in RNAcentral is "partial 16S ribosomal RNA". It matches the Rfam family "Bacterial small subunit ribosomal RNA", at positions 524 to 776 of the family's 1533-position model. The record is from RNAcentral.